UGGGGAAUCUUGCGCAAUGGGCGAAAGCCUGACGCAGCAACGCCGCGUGCGGGAUGAAGGCCUUCGGGUUGUAAACCGCUUUUAUCAGGGACGAUUAUGACGGUACCUGAUGAAUAAGCCACGGCUAACUACGUG
RNAcentral lists this ribosomal RNA (135 nucleotides) under uncultured bacterium. RNAcentral's name for it is "partial 16S ribosomal RNA". It matches the Rfam family "Bacterial small subunit ribosomal RNA", at positions 355 to 507 of the family's 1533-position model. The record is from RNAcentral.